This 253-nucleotide ribosomal RNA is filed under the name uncultured bacterium. RNAcentral's name for it is "partial 16S ribosomal RNA". It matches the Rfam family "Bacterial small subunit ribosomal RNA", at positions 524 to 776 of the family's 1533-position model. The record is from RNAcentral.
UACAGAGGUCCCGAGCGUUGUUCGGAUUCAUUGGGCGUAAAGGGUGCGUAGGUGGCGCUGUAAGUGGGGUGUGAAAUCCCGGGGCUUAACUCCGGAACUGCAUUCCAUACUGCGGUGCUUGAGGACUGGAGAGGAGACUGGAAUUUACGGUGUAGCAGUGAAAUGCGUAGAGAUUGUAAGGAAGACCAGUGGCGAAGGCGGGUCUCUGGACAGUUCCUGACACUGAGGCACGAAGGCCAGGGGAGCAAACGGG